CUAUAUGUAUGUAAAUGAAAUUAUUUAAAUGUGUUUUCUAAUUAAUUGUUGAAAUGUAUAUUUAUCGUUUUAUUAAAACUGUGUUGUGAUGUCACGUGAUCUGUUUGCAACUGUGAUUGAAUAUGUGGGUGCGUGUGUAUCACGACUCCAAGCCUAGAUGAGACAUUAUCACGGUGGAGCUCCUCUGGUCACUUGGGAGCGUAACAGACUGACAUGACGUCCCCUGA
Molecule: long non-coding RNA, 227 nt
Organism: Juglans microcarpa x Juglans regia
Lineage: Eukaryota; Viridiplantae; Streptophyta; Magnoliopsida; Fagales; Juglandaceae
Exons: 3
Source: RefSeq, a predicted model, not a curated record